This 433-nucleotide ribosomal RNA is filed under the name uncultured bacterium. RNAcentral's name for it is "partial 16S ribosomal RNA". It matches the Rfam family "Bacterial small subunit ribosomal RNA", at positions 29 to 507 of the family's 1533-position model. The record is from RNAcentral.
AACGAACGCUGGCGGCAUGCCUAACACAUGCAAGUCGAACGAGACCUUCGGGUCUAGUGGCGCACGGGUGCGUAACGCGUGGGAACCUUCACUUAGGUUCGGCAUAACUCCCCGACAGGGGUGCUAAUACCGGAUAAUAUCUUCGGACCAAAGAUUUAUCGCCUUUGGAUGGGCCCGCGUUGGAUUAGCUAGUUGGUAGGGUAAAAGCCUACCACGGCGACGAUCCAUAGCUGGUAAGAGAGAAAGAGCAGCCACACUGGGACUGGGACGCGGCCCAGACUCCUACGGGAUGCAGCAGAGCGUAAUAUUGGACAGUGGGCGAAGGCCUGAUCCAGCAAUGCCGGGAGAGUGAUGAAGGCAGUAAGGUUGUAAAGCUCUUUUACCCGGGAAGAUAAUGACAGUACCGGGAGAAUAAGCACCGGCUAACUCCGUG